This 1369-nucleotide ribosomal RNA is filed under the name uncultured bacterium. RNAcentral's name for it is "bacterial SSU rRNA". It matches the Rfam family "Bacterial small subunit ribosomal RNA". The record is from RNAcentral.
GAGUUUGAUCCUGGCUCAGAACGAACGCUGGCGGCGUGGAUAAGACAUGCAAGUCGAACGAGAGAAUUGCUAGCUUGCUAAUAAUUCUCUAGUGGCGCACGGGUGAGUAACACGUGAGUAACCUGCCCCCGAGAGCGGGAUAGCCCUGGGAAACUGGGAUUAAUACCGCAUAGUAUCGAAAGAUUAAAGCAGCAAUGCGCUUGGGGAUGGGCUCGCGGCCUAUUAGUUAGUUGGUGAGGUAACGGCUCACCAAGGCGAUGACGGGUAGCCGGUCUGAGAGGAUGUCCGGCCACACUGGAACUGAGACACGGUCCAGACACCUACGGGUGGCAGCAGUCGAGAAUCAUUCACAAUGGGGGAAACCCUGAUGGUGCGACGCCGCGUGGGGGAAUGAAGGUCUUCGGAUUGUAAACCCCUGUCAUGUGGGAGCAAAUUAAAAAGAUAGUACCACAAGAGGAAGAGACGGCUAACUCUGUGCCAGCAGCCGCGGUAAUACAGAGGUCUCAAGCGUUGUUCGGAAUCACUGGGCGUAAAGCGUGCGUAGGCUGUUUCGUAAGUCGUGUGUGAAAGGCGCGGGCUCAACCCGCGGACGGCACAUGAUACUGCGAGACUAGAGUAAUGGAGGGGGAACCGGAAUUCUCGGUGUAGCAGUGAAAUGCGUAGAUAUCGAGAGGAACACUCGUGGCGAAGGCGGGUUCCUGGACAUUAACUGACGCUGAGGCACGAAGGCCAGGGGAGCGAAAGGGAUUAGAUACCCCUGUAGUCCUGGCAGUAAACGGUGCACGCUUGGUGUGCGGGGAAUCGACCCCCUGCGUGCCGGAGCUAACGCGUUAAGCGUGCCGCCUGGGGAGUACGGUCGCAAGAUUAAAACUCAAAGAAAUUGACGGGGACCCGCACAAGCGGUGGAGUAUGUGGCUUAAUUCGAUGCAACGCGAAGAACCUUACCUGGGCUUGACAUGUAAUGAACAACAUGUGAAAGCAUGCGACUCUUCGGAGGCGUUACACAGGUGCUGCAUGGCCGUCGUCAGCUCGUGUCGUGAGAUGUUUGGUUAAGUCCAGCAACGAGCGCAACCCCUGUUGCCAGUUACCAGCACGUGAAGGUGGGGACUCUGGCGAGACUGCCCAGAUCAACUGGGAGGAAGGUGGGGACGACGUCAGGUCAGUAUGGCCCUUAUGCCCAGGGCUGCACACGUACUACAAUGCCCAGUACAGAGGGGGCCGAAGCCGCGAGGCGGAGGAAAUCCUAAAAACUGGGCCCAGUUCGGACUGUAGGCUGCAACCCGCCUACACGAAGCCGGAAUCGCUAGUAAUGGCGCAUCAGCUACGGCGCCGUGAAUACGUUCCCGGGUCUUGCACACACCGCCCGUCA